AAUAGUCAAAAGACAAGGGGAUCUAAUGGCGGAAUAGGAGACGAAGAUUACAGAGAAGCAGAAAAAUUCAGGAAGAACUGAAGUGGUCAAGGGCUUAAGUUUUUAGUUCAAAUCCCUGUCCUACUCCUGAACAUCUGCCACUUUGGACAAGGUUAUCUUCCCAAGCCUCAGUUUCUUCAGCUGUGUAAUGGGAAUGACGUUUCUUUCCUCUCUGGGCCAGCAUGGUGACGGCUGGGGAUAUCUGCCCUGCAGGCUCUGGAGUCAGAAAGCCUGGCUUUCAGUUUUGGCUUCACCACGUCCCAGCUGUUUGACCUUAGACUCAAUAACCAUUUUCAGUCUCCUUUCCUGAAAAAAUGAGUAUAAUGAGAGUACUUAUCUUCUAGGGGAUGAUUGGAGAAUUAAAUGAGUUAAAACCACUGAAAUGCUUAGAAGAAUACUUGGCAUGUAACAAGCCUUAAAACAACAUUGGCUGCUUCAGUAUCCUGUGAUAAACCAUAAUGGAAAAGAAUGCGAAAAAGAAUGUAUACGUAUAUACAUAUAUAUGUAUAACCGAAUCACUUUGUUGUACAGCAGAAAUUAACGCAACAUUGUAAAUCAACUAGACUCCGAUAAGAUAAAUUUAAAAAACAACAUUGGUUGCAAUGUGUUAGAUAUUAUCAUGAGUUUUAAAUUAACUAAUGUAUAUAAAGAAAAUGAUAAGUGGUCAGUAAGUGUUAAAACAACGAUUUGAUCUGUAUGUAUUUCAUAGCAAGUGGUAUAUUAUAUGUGAACACCAACUAAAUGUUUCUGAUUUGACGUCACCAUCACUAAGGACAAAUAACUCACACGUCGCAUGACAAGCUGUUUCCAACUUCAAAAGGAUGAACGGAUUGUGGUUGACUUCAGGAGUUGGAAAGCAGGAGGGUCUUUAUGGCUGAUCCCAAGGCUUAGAAGCAAGAGAAGGAUGAAAACCUUGACCCCAAGAAACAGCUCAGUACAGGAAGUGAUGAGGCCGAAGGGAAAGCUAAAGGAUGUGACGGGAAAGACCGGAGCUCUCGCUUAUCGGAGGGGAUUCCUGAGCCACCAGGCAUGAUGUCUGGCUCUGCGGCCACACUGGUGCUCAGGAAGCUGGCGUUCACUACGCUUGGAGCCUGGAGGAAGGAAGAACCAGGCAAGCUCUAGAACGGGAGACGGGCAUUCAGGUAACGGCAGCCGGCAGAGGGGUGGGCUUCGGCUCGGUAUCUCCCCAGGUGAAUCUCCUCCGACCACGAGCACUGAGCUCACCUGGCGUACUGGUUGACAAGGCAGACCCCCAGCCUCUCCCCCAGACCUACUAAGCCAGCACCCCUGGUGGCGAGGCCCUGGAAUCAGCAUAGUAACAGCCACUCCAAAACUUUCCCAUCCUUCUGCAUGUUAAUACCGGAGAACCCCUGGCUUAGGUUUUGUUCUCUAGAAAUCUGGGUGCCUGGAUGAGAAAUGGGAACAACUGUCCAGUUAUUUCCCAGAACUCUGAAGACUGAACAUCCACGCACAGGCCGUGCAUAGGGUUAUAACUGAAUAGAUCUCAUUCCCCUUACAACGUCCCUAACGCACACAAUCGCUAUUGUGCUACUUGGUAAUUAGGCGUCAUUGUGAAUGUUUCCCCAAGUGACUGCGAUUCAUGUGGUUUUCAAACACUUCAAGCCAGCAUUUCUGCCAGCAGCAGGGGAGAGAGGCGGGAGCUGGAGGGUGCUGUAAGGAGAAUAUCAACUCUUACCAGCA
Long non-coding RNA from Orcinus orca (killer whale), 1740 nucleotides. RefSeq lists it as uncharacterized. NCBI's taxonomy places the organism in Eukaryota, Metazoa, Chordata, Mammalia, Artiodactyla, Delphinidae. The record is from RefSeq and is a predicted model, not a curated record. The transcript has 3 exons.